UUCUAACCCUGAUAGAACAUGGCCAGUUGCUCUGCUGGGGAAAGCCACGUCCAGUAGUGAGAUGCUGCUCAAACUGGCCCGGACCACACUGUACUGGCUGAGGAAUAAGCCUUACAUUUGUUCUGUCCAGGUGAAAGGAGAGGACUGUCCGUAAAGACAUGAGAAGCCUGCAGAUCCCGAUGACCCCCUCUUGCUGGUCAAAAUAUUAAAGAUCGAUAUUGUGGAAACAAUGACCCUGUAGCAGAUAAGCUUCUAAAGCAGGCUUCAACCACGCUUCAUCUUGAAUCACCAGCAGAGAAGGAUUCCACCAGAGUGUAUGUUGGUGAUCUGGCGGAUACCAUUACUCAGACAGAUUUAAGAAAUUGUCUCUGCCUGUUGGUGAGAUCCGGAUGGUCACCGUUGUGCAGAGAUAGCAGUGUGCCUUUCAUCCAGCUUUCCACAGGGUGGCUACAGAAGUGGGUGCCGACAAGUCCUCUAAUAAACUGAUUGUCAAUGGCUGCAGACUCCGUGUAAAAUGGGGACGAUUCCAAGCACUCAAGGGGAAAAAAAAAAAAAAAAA
This 559-nucleotide long non-coding RNA is filed under the name Homo sapiens (human). RNAcentral describes it as "non-protein coding lnc-XAGE1A-1:5". Lineage: Eukaryota; Metazoa; Chordata; Mammalia; Primates; Hominidae. The record is from RNAcentral.